This 446-nucleotide ribosomal RNA is filed under the name uncultured bacterium. RNAcentral's name for it is "partial 16S ribosomal RNA". It matches the Rfam family "Bacterial small subunit ribosomal RNA", at positions 338 to 795 of the family's 1533-position model. The record is from RNAcentral.
CCUACGGGUGGCAGCAGUCGAGAAUCAUUCACAAUGGGGGAAACCCUGAUGGUGCGACGCCGCGUGGGGGAAUGAAGGUCUCCGGAUUGUAAACACCUGUCAUGUGGGAGCAAAUUAAAAAGAUAGUACCACAAGAGGAAGAGACGGCUAACUCUGUGCCCGCAGCCGCGGUAAUACAGAGGUCUCAAGCGUUGUUCGGAAUCACUGGGCGUAAAGCGUGCGUAGGCGGGUUCGUAAGUCGGGUGUGAAAGCCGCGGGCUCAACCCGCGGACGGCAUAUGAUACUGCGAGACUAGAGUAAUGUAGGGGGAACUGGAAUUCUCGGUGUAGCAGUGAAAUGCGUAGAGAUCGGGAGGAACACUCGUGGCGAAGGCGGGUUCCUGGACAUUAACUGACGCUGAGGCACGAAGGCCUGGGGAGCGAAAGGGAUUAGAUACCCCUGUAGUC